RNAcentral lists this ribosomal RNA (478 nucleotides) under uncultured bacterium. RNAcentral's name for it is "partial 16S ribosomal RNA". It matches the Rfam family "Bacterial small subunit ribosomal RNA", at positions 28 to 507 of the family's 1533-position model. The record is from RNAcentral.
GAUGAACGCUGGCGGCGUGCUUAACACAUGCAAGUCGAACGGGAAUUAUCUUAUUGAAACUUCUGUCGAUUUAAUUUAAUUCUAGUGGCGGACGGGGGAGUAACGCGUGGGUAACCUGCCUUAUACAGGGGGAUAACAGUCAGAAAUGGCUGCUAAUACCGCAUAAGCGCACAGAGCUGCAUGGCUCAGUGUGAAGAACUCCGGUGGUAUAAGAUGGACCCGCGUUGGAUUAGCUGGUUGGUGGGGUAACGGCCCACCAAGGCGACGAUCCAUAGCCGGCCUGAGAGGGUGAACGGCCACAUUGGGACUGAGACACGGCCCAGACUCCUACGGGAGGCAGCAGUGGGGAAUAUUGCACAAUGGGGGAAACCCUGAUGCCGCGACGCCGCGUGAAGGAAGAAGUAUCUCGGUAUGUAAACUUCUAUCAGCAGGGACGAUAGUGACGGUACCUGACUAAGAAGCCCCGGCUAACUACGUG